Molecule: ribosomal RNA, 253 nt
Filed under: uncultured bacterium
Lineage: Bacteria
Description: partial 16S ribosomal RNA
Rfam family: Bacterial small subunit ribosomal RNA
Source: RNAcentral
UACGGAGGGUGCAAGCGUUGUUCGGAUUUAUUGGGCGUAAAGCGCGUGUAGGCGGUUUCUUAAGUCUGAUGUGAAAGCCCCGGGCUCAACCCAGGAAGUGCAUUGGAUACUGGGAGACUUGAAUACGGGAGAGGGUAGUGGAAUUCCUAGUGUAGGAGUGAAAUCCGUAGAUAUUAGGAGGAACACCGGUGGCGAAGGCGGCUACCUGGACCGAUAUUGACGCUGAGACGCGAAAGCGUGGGGAGCAAACAGG